CCGUUGACGGGACAGUGUCAGUCGGGCAGUUUGACUGGGGCGGUCGCCUCCCAAAGAGUAACGGAGGCGCCCAAAGAUACCCUCAGCUUGGAUGGAAACCAAGCGCAGAGUGCAAAGGCAAAAGGGUGUUUGACUGCGAGACCCACAAGUCGAGCAGGGACGAAAGUCGGGCUUAGUGAUCCGGCGGUGCUGAAUGGAAAGGCCGUCGCUCAACGGAUAAAAGCUACCCUGGGGAUAACAGGCUGAUCUCCCCCAAGAGUUCACAUCGACGGGGAGGUUUGGCACCUCGAUGUCGGCUCAUCGCAUCCUGGAGCUGAAGUCGGUUCCAAGGGUUGGGCUGUUCGCCCAUUAAAGCGGUACGCGAGCUGGGUUCAGAACGUCGUGAGACAGUUCGGUCCCUAUCUGUCGUGGGCGCAGGAAAUUUGAGAAGAGCUGUCCUCAGUACGAGAGGACCGGGAUGGACGCAUCAAUGGUGGACCAGUUGUCACGCCAGUGGCAUAGCUGGGUAGCUAAAUGCGGAAGGGAUAAACGCUGAAGGCAUCUAAGUGUGAAACCCACUUCAAGAUGAGAUUUCCCAUUGCGCAAGCAAGUAAGACCCCUUAAAGACGAUAAGGUAGAUAGGUCAGGAGUGUAAGCAUGGUGACAUGUUAAGCGGACUGAUACUAAUAGGUCGAGGGCUUGACCGAAA
RNAcentral lists this ribosomal RNA (688 nucleotides) under Faecalibacillus sp. H12. Its description in RNAcentral is "partial 23S ribosomal RNA". It matches the Rfam family "Bacterial large subunit ribosomal RNA", at positions 2240 to 2925 of the family's 2925-position model. The record is from RNAcentral. Lineage: Bacteria; Bacillati; Bacillota; Erysipelotrichia; Erysipelotrichales; Coprobacillaceae.